UACGAAGGGGGCUAGCGUUGUUCGGAUUUACUGGGCGUAAAGCGCACGUAGGCGGAUCGUUAAGUCGGGGGGUGAAAUCCUGGAGCUCAACUCCAGAACUGCCUUCGAUACUGGCGAUCUAGAGUCCGGAAGAGGUGAGUGGAACUGCGAGUGUAGAGGUGAAAUUCGUAGAUAUUCGCAAGAACACCAGUGGCGAAGGCGGCUCACUGGCCCGAGUACUGACGGCUGAGGCACGAAAAGCGUGGGGGAGCAAACAGG
This 258-nucleotide ribosomal RNA is filed under the name uncultured bacterium. RNAcentral describes it as "partial 16S ribosomal RNA". It matches the Rfam family "Bacterial small subunit ribosomal RNA", at positions 524 to 776 of the family's 1533-position model. The record is from RNAcentral.